ACACCAAAAAUCAGUUCCUAACUAUAAAAUUAGUUCAUAUAACUAAAGGUCAAUCCAAGAAUAAUAGUGAAAAAGAACAAACCACUAACCAAAUGUGUAACUACAAGUCCUGUUAAGCUAUUAAGCCGGAGAAGCAGCCAUACAUUUACAAACCCCCUUUUUAAAAGACACAAUUACAAUUUGAGUUCUGGAUCGAAUACAUGAAACUUCAUAAACAAGAAUCAAUGUUCUUUUAUAAUACAAAAGGUUCAUUACCUUAACCAACCCAUAUGCAUACAUCAUAGACUAUUCCCAUUGAUGAGAUUGCCCUAACCUAGGUUGCCAAAAUAAUAAAAAUAAAAUGGAAAAUUC
RNAcentral lists this long non-coding RNA (351 nucleotides) under Helianthus annuus (common sunflower). RNAcentral describes it as "hypothetical non coding rna". The record is from RNAcentral. Lineage: Eukaryota; Viridiplantae; Streptophyta; Magnoliopsida; Asterales; Asteraceae.